This 301-nucleotide ribosomal RNA is filed under the name uncultured bacterium. RNAcentral describes it as "partial 16S ribosomal RNA". It matches the Rfam family "Bacterial small subunit ribosomal RNA", at positions 509 to 808 of the family's 1533-position model. The record is from RNAcentral.
CAGCGCCGCGGGAAUACGAAGGGUGCAAGCGUUACUCGGAAUUACUGGGCGUAAAGCGUGCGUAGGUGGUGGUUUAAGUCCGUUGUGAAAGCCCUGGGCUCAACCUGGGAAUUGCAGUGGAUACUGGGUCACUAGAGUGUGGUAGAGGAUAGUGGAAUUUCCGGUGUAGCAGUGAAAUGCGUAGAGAUCGGAAGGAACAUCUGUGGCGAAGGCGACUAUCUGGGCCAACACUGACACUGAGGCACGAAAGCGUGGGGAGCAAACAGGAUUAGAUACCCGAGUAGUCCCUGUCUCUUAUACA